Molecule: ribosomal RNA, 253 nt
Filed under: uncultured bacterium
Lineage: Bacteria
Description: partial 16S ribosomal RNA
Rfam family: Bacterial small subunit ribosomal RNA
Source: RNAcentral
UACGUAGGGUGCGAGCGUUGCCCGGAAUUAUUGGGCGUAAAGGGCUCGUAGGCGGUCUGUUGCGUCAGGUGUGAAAACUCGGGGCUUAACCCCGAGCCUGCUUCUGAUACGGGCAGACUAGAGGUAUGCAGGGGAGAACGGAAUUCCUGGUGUAGCGGCGAAAUGCGCAGAUAUCAGGAGGAACACCAGUGGCGAAGGCGGUUCUCUGGGAAUUUCCUGACGCUGAGGAGCGAAAGUGUGGGGAGCGAACAGG